UACUAUUCAAUUCUGCACAACUUGACUGUAGUAUGACAUUGACUUUAAUCUCUUCUUCAAAUCAAUGUUUGAUUAAAUGCACAUAGAAGCUAAUAACCACACACACACACACAAUGCAAACAUACAAGGUUCUCAUGCUAAUGUUUCACACUUUCUUCUUCUGUAUCAUUCCAAUUUUAUCUAUACAAUAUGAAACUUUUUCCACUAUUACACCAAAUCAUUCUAUCCAAGGUAAUCAAACUUUAGUGUCUUCAGCUGGAACUUUUGAAGCUGGAUUCUUCAACUUUGCAAAUUCAAAACUCCAAUACUUUGGUAUAUGGUACAAAACAAUAUCACCUAAAGUCUAUGUUUGGAUUGCCAAUCGAGAUUCUCCAAUACAAAACUCAACACCAAUUCUAAAACUAACAUAUCAAGGUACUCUAACUAUUUUCGAUGAUUCUGGAACCAUUAUAUGGUCCUCCAAUGCAUCAACAAUUGCGGUGAAACCGGUCUUGUCGCUUUUAGAUUCAGGAAACCUUGUUGUGAAAGAUGGAGAGAGAAAUCUGUGGGAAAGUUUUGAUUACCCUGGUGACACUUUCCUUGCAGGAAUGAAACUCAAGACAAGUUUAGUAAAUGGUCCUUAUAUGUCUCUUACAUCUUGGAAAACUGUUGAAGAUCCUUCUUUAGGUGAGUUUUCUUAUCACAUAGAUUUUCAUGGAUUUCCUCAAUUAGUUACUACAAAGGGAGAAAAUUUAUAUAGUAGGGGAGGAGCAUGGAAUGGUUAUGCUUUUGGUGGAGUUUCAUGGCUAAGGAAUCUUAAGUUGUUCAAAUUUUCUCUAGUUUUCACUGAUAUGGAAGUUUCUUAUGAUUAUGAAACAUUGAAAAAAGAAACUAUUACUAGAUUAUGGCUUAGUCCAACAGGUUCUUCACAGAGAUUGGUAUGGUCAGAGAGGAGAAAAGAUUGGGAUACUAUAUCGACUCGUCCGAUGGAUGCGUGUGCAUAUUAUUCAAGUUGUGGUGCUAAUUCUAUCUGCAAUAUCACAAACUCUCCAAGAAUAUGUCAAUGCUUGGAAGGUUUUGUACCUAAGUAUUAUGAAAAGUGGAAUUCUUUGGAUUGGUCUGGUGGAUGUGUUAGAAGAAUAAGGUUAAAUUGUAUUGGUGAUGGAUUUCUAAAGCACUCAGGAGUAGAGUUGCCAGAUACCUCCUCUUCCUGGUUUAACAAUAGCUCGAGCCUCGAAGAAUGUGAGAAAAUAUGUUUGAAAAAUUGCUCCUGUACAGCAUAUGCAAGUUUAGAUAUUAAAAGCAACAGUGGCUGCUUGCUUUGGUUUGGUAAGAUAAGGGACUUGUCAAAACAUAUAGACCAAGGACAAGAUAUUUUCAUAAGACUUGCAGCUUCAGAGUUAGGUAUUUUCUCAGUCACCUUUUUGGCUUAAUUAGUUGAAGUAUAAAUAUGCAAUUUUCGAGAUUUAAUCCCUAAAAGAAUUUGUCAUUUUUAAUUCCUGAAACAUAUGAAAUAAUUUCUUUUGGCCAUUGCUGAUAUGGUUUUAGCUCCUCUAUAAUAUUUUAUGCAAAUAGAGUUAGUCCCUAUGCCUAUGCUAGGUGGUCGAUUAUUUUGUCACAGUCAGCUUCCUUUUCUUUCCUAAAUUGCAAACUUCUUGCUGCUUGUUUGUUCAUGGAGAAUACUUUUAUUGUUCCUCAGGUCAUAAGAGAAACAAUUGGAGCUUUAAAAACAAGAAGCUUGCAGGGGCACUAGGAGCCGGGGGAAUCAUUUUAUUCAUUAUGAUUCUUGGAGUGGCCACAUUUACAUAUAUAAAGAGAAAGAAGCUUGCAAAGCCAGGUGAAUCUAAAGUAAAAUUAUGAUUUUGUUCUAGUUUCAAUAGUAAAGUGUUUUUACAUUGUCAAUCUUCUGUAACCAUUGGAUCACCAAGAUUAUUUAACUUCAAUCAUAUUUAUGUUAAAAGUAACACAAAAGAAGGUUUGUUAUUGAUUGACAGUGUAAAAAGACUUACGCUGACCGUGCAUUGAAAUCAAUUUCAUUCGAAUAUUAGAAUGUAAAGAAGUUUCCUCCAAAUAUGCUUUUAGUUAUACUCAGUUGAUAUCUCCUACCAUUUUAGGGAUGCUAAAAAUAUUAUAUAGGAAGCACAAAAGAGACAAGGAAGAUGUGCAGUUAUCAACAAUAUUUGGUUUUUCAACCAUAUCUAAUGCCACAAAUCACUUUUCAGACGAUAACAAGAUAGGAAAAGGUGGUUUUGGACCGGUAUACAAGGUAAUAAAAUUCAUUCAAAUAAGCCUUGGUUAACAGCAUCGAUUAAGUUGUAUGACGAUCAAGGAACUUCUUUAUUUAUUUCAAAAUUUUCGGAAAAUUAUUGUCAGGGCGUAUUGGAAGAUGGACUAGAGAUUGCAGUCAAAAGGCUAUCAGAAACAUCAGAACAAGGAGAAGAACAGUUCAAAAAUGAAGUCAUGUUGAUGGCGAAGCUUCAGCAUCGCAAUCUUGUAAAACUUCUUGGUUGUUCAAUUUACCAAAAUGAAAAGCUCUUGAUCUAUGAAUUGAUGCCCAACAGAAGCUUGGAUUAUUUCAUUUUUGGUUUGAAACUUAACACUAUGCAAAUUAUGGUUUUUCAUUUUACUCUUUGUUAUUACUUAGUUACCACACUGACUUUAAAAGUGGAUUUUGUUAGAUUCAACGCGAAAGAAACAACUAGAUUUGAAAAAAAGAUUCCAAAUUAUUGAUGGGAUUGCUCGAGGUCUGCUCUAUCUUCAUCAAGACUCUAGAUUAAGAAUCAUCCAUAGAGACCUCAAAACAAGUAAUAUUCUUCUUGAUAAUGACAUGAAUCCAAGGAUAUCGGAUUUUGGUCUGGCUAGAACAUUUAAAGGAGAUCAAGAUGAGUCUAACACAAAUAGAUUGAUGGGAACAUAGUAAGUAAAUCUUUUGAGUUAUAUAGUUCCACUAUGUUGCAAUUCCAUUUUAAAAGGCAUGCUGAAUCAGCCGGUUNNNNNNNNNNNNNNNNNNNNNNNNNNNNNNNNNNNNNNNNNNNNNNNNNNNNNNNNNNNNNNNNNNNNNNNNNNNNNNNNNNNNNNNNNNNNNNNNNNNNNNNNNNNNNNNNNNNNNNNNNNNNNNNNNNNNNNNNNNUAUAUAGUUCCACUAUGUUGCAAUUCCAUUUUAAAAGGCAUGCUGAAUCAGCCGGUUAAAUCAGUUCAGCUAUGAACCGGCUUGUUCGACGGUUGAACCAGAUUGAAACCGGUUUGAUCUUCAGUCCGAUUUUUACAUUGAUUUUCUAACUACAUGGUUGUGCUGCAGUGGUUAUAUGCCACCUGAAUAUGCGGUGCAUGGAUGUUUUUCAAUCAAAUCUGAUGUUUUUAGCUUUGGCGUAAUUGUUCUCGAGAUAAUUAGUGGGAGAAGGAUUCGAAAUUUUUAUAACCCACAUCAUCAUCUUAAUCUUCUUGGUCAUGUAAGUUUAAAGUUUAUAUAUUUUAGGAUCAAUAUUUUUUUCUGCAAUCAUCUAAUAGGAAAUAUUUGUGACAUUGAUUUCAGGCAUGGAGACUAUGGAAUGAAGAAAAGGCACAAGAUCUCAUAGAUGAUAUAUUCCAUGGUGCAACUAUUCCAUGUGAAAUAUUGAAAUGUAUUCAUGUUGGUCUAUUAUGUGUUCAACAAAUACCAGAACAUAGACCAAACAUGUCAUCUGUGGUCUUAAUGUUGAAUGGUGAAAAACUGUUGCCUGAUCCUAGCCAACCUGGGUUCUAUACUGCAACAGCUCAUGAUCCAAUUCAGGUAGAAUCUUCUUCAAGAAGUUAUGGAGACUGUUCACAAAAUGAAGCUUCUAUGUCAUUGUUAGAGCCACGAUAGAAUAUCAUUGUGUAUUUUGUUAAUACUUGAUAGUGCUACUAGGAUUAAAAGGUGCAUUUGGAGAAACUUAUUUGAACUUAUCUUAUGACAGAAGUGAUUGUAUAAGUGUUUGUGAAAGCUUAUGAGAGCUUAUCAUAUUUUUAUCAAUGAUUGAUCAAAUACCUUUUAUGCAGUCACUAUUUGACUGGGAAUCUCUUCGAAUUGUUUCUACUUUGGCCUCUAUUAUCUGAAUACCGGUUCUUGUUUCUCCCCCUAGAUUCAGUAACCAAUACCUCUGACUGUGAAGGAGAGUUUUGAUACUUUCUUCUCAUCUCUUCAUUCAAAAUAUUGCUCGUAACAAGGUCCAUUGACAACACAUCGGCAACAGCAGAAUUAGACAAUGACAUUCUGAACGUUUUCCACAAGUCAGGCAAGGAACUCAGAAGAAAUAACCCUUGAAUUUCAUCAUCAAACUUAAUACCAAUGUACUUUGAUUGAAUUAAUUAAUGAAUUGAAUAACUUUCAUUCGUAAGUCUAUUUCUCUAUAGUUAUUACCUGUUUUCUUCGUAUGCAACUGCUCAAUAUUAUCCCAUAAUAAUUUUGCAUCUUUCUCUCCACUAAUGUGGUUCAAAACGUUGUCAUCAACCCAUCAACGAAUAAAAGUUUACUCAUUAUAAAUUAUGUCAUUUGGCUUUUCUGUAGCGAACACAGGAUGGUUAAAAUUCUUCGCAAAAAGAAGAUCCUCCAUCUUACCUUUCCAAAGGGCANNNNNNNNNNNNNNNNNNNNNNNNNNNNNNNNNNNNNNNNNNNNNNNNGGAUGCGAUGUUUUAAAUUUUAUCACUUGACAACAUAAAAGCCAAAAUCGAUAACUAUACCUUCGCUAUUAACUAGAAAUUAGAUACUAGUCAAAAUCAAUAAUUGUAUCACGCAUUUACGGCGUUGAAUCAUAAUCUAGAUGGUGAAGUGAAGGGCCCCUAUUAAAUGUAUCAACCUACACUGAACAACUUGAGUUGCCAUGCCAAUCCUUAAUUGCAAUUUCUACUAUUCAAUCCCGCACAACUUGACUGUAGUGGCAUUGACUUUGGAUCAAUCUCUUCUUCAAAUCAACAUUUGAUGAAAUGCACAUAGAAGCUAAUAACCACACAGUCACACACACACACACAAUGCAAACAUACAAGGUUCUCAUGCUAAUGCUUCAUACUUUCUUCUUCUGUAUCAUUCCAACUUCAUCUAUACAAUAUGAAACUUUUUCUGCCAUUACACCAGAUCAUUCUAUCCAAGGUAAUGAAACUUUAGUGUCUUCAUCUGGAACUUUUGAAGCUGGAUUCUUCAACUUUGCAAAUUCACAACUCCAAUACUUUGGUAUAUGGUACAAAACAAUAUCACCUAAAGUGUAUGUUUGGAUUGCCAAUAGAGAUUCUCCGAUACAAAACUCAACGCCAAUUCUAAAACUAACAUAUAAAGAUACUCUUACUAUUGUUGAUGAUUCUAGAACCAUUAUAUGGUCCUCCAAUGCAUCAACAGUUGCGGCAAAACCGGUCUUGUUGCUUCUAGAUUCAGGAAACCUUGUUGUGAAAGAUGGAGAGAGAAUUCUGUGGGAAAGUUUUGAUUACCCUGGUGACACUUUCCUUGCAGGAAUGAAACUCAAGACAAGUUUACUAAAUGGUCCUUAUAUGUCUCUUACAUCAUGGAAAAGUGUUGACGAUCCUUCUUUAGGUGAGUUUUCUUAUCACAUAGAUUUUCAUGGAUUUCCUCAAUUAGUUACAACAAAGGGAGGAAAUAUAUAUCAUAGGGGACCAGCUUUGAAUGGUAAUGCUUUUGGUGGAGUUUCAUGGCUAAGUAAUCUUAAGUUGUUGAAAUUUUCAUUAAUGUUAAAUGAUAAAGAAGUUUCUUAUGAAUAUGAAACUUUGAAAAAUGAAACUAUUACUAGAUUAUGGCUUAGUCCAUCAGGUUAUUCAGAGAGAUCGGUAUGGUCAGAGAGUAGAAAAAAUUGGGAUAUUAUAACGACUCGUCCGUUGGAUCAGUGUGCAUAUUAUUCAAGUUGCGGUGAUAAUUCUGUCUGCAAUAUUACAAACUCUCCAAGAAUAUGUCAAUGCUUGGAAGGUUUUGUAC
This 5914-nucleotide long non-coding RNA is filed under the name Trifolium pratense (red clover). RNAcentral's name for it is "long non-coding RNA (TPRA_LNC003090)". Lineage: Eukaryota; Viridiplantae; Streptophyta; Magnoliopsida; Fabales; Fabaceae. The record is from RNAcentral.